Oryza sativa Japonica Group (Japanese rice) is the source of this 3356-nucleotide non-coding RNA. The record is from RefSeq and is a predicted model, not a curated record. Lineage: Eukaryota; Viridiplantae; Streptophyta; Magnoliopsida; Poales; Poaceae.
AGUUUACGAUAAGAACUGGUCACUCAGGUGCUAAUGCUACGAUGAUUACUCAUAUCUAUCCUAUAAUUCACUAACUUCAUUCAUCAAAUCCAACGGAUGAAAAUCAUCAAACAUUUCCGAUUCAAUGAUAGCAGCGCACGCGGAUCACGCAGUGGGAGGGAGAUCGCGCGCACGCGUAGUCACCGGGCAUAAAAUCUUUGUUUCCUUCCACGCCUCCUCUUUUCCUCCGGAUAUCGCUGCGCCACCAUCCGUCCAUCCCUUCAGCCGCCAACCGCCCCCUCCGUCCGUGCACCCACCCCUCGCGCCCCUUCCUCCCUCCUGCCGCUCCCCCGCCGACGGCAGCACCUUCACCUGCCCCGCCGCCGGAUCGACGGGAGUCGCCGACCUUCCUCCGCCAAACUCCGAUCUUGCGGCGUUCACUUUUCCUCCGCAGCCAUUGCCCCGUAUCCUCCUCCGCUUCAUCGCCGCCGCCACCGCCGCCGAUGCCGCAUCUAUAGGACCAGCGUCGUCGUGGGUGGCAGCGGCGGUGGCGCGGGUGAAAUCGGAGGUGCGUGGCCGCCGCGGACGAAGCUGGCGAUGGCCACCAAGGGGCUCGACAGAGGGGCGGCAGAGGGGAUAUAUCGAUGCGCAUCCACGUCGGAAGGGUGGAGGCACGUUCAAUAUCGACACUGGCCAUUGUGCCUUUUUUUUUUCCCGCACAAUAUGCUUGGUGGAAUUACCUGGAGGAUGAUUAUUUUUGUUUACUUGAAUCAUAUCAUUCACACUCGUUCAUGGCUCAAGGACACGUUCUUCUAUUUUUCCGUUCUGUCUGAUUGUAGCAUCUUCUCCAUGCUUCCAGAUUGGAUACUCACGAGCAUGUCCAAACAAAUAUAGUGAGUCAUCAUUUUCACGGAUCAUAUUUCUGAAUUGAUAUGAGCACUUCCAUAAUCUGUUUUUAGUAUAAUAGUUUUCCAUUGAAGAAAAACAGAGUUAUACGAGCUCAUUUUCAUCCAAGUUUGUCUGCACUUGUUUUGAUGAGGCCAGCUAAAUGAAAUAACUUAUGGUGGGCUUGUUAGAUCUCUUUGGCAUGCAUGCUCUAUUUAUUGACAUAACUUUAGCUACAUGUUUUAGAUUACAACAAUGCGGGAUGAAUAUUUAUCAUUCCUAGCUUGACAGUUUCUGAAUAUUUCAGAUAGAAUGGAUGAUCCCUGCGUGAAAGCAUCAAGUGACAUGAGCACUUUCUUUUCUUCAGUUUGGACUGAAACAAGAAGGGAGGUCGAUUUUCCUAUUGAGGCCUAUGCCAUGAAUAUUUCCUACUGGUUCUAUACCACCACAUAUGGAACAUAAUUUACCUUGUAAGAGUUUUUGUUUCUUCACUUUCUUUAGUUUGCACUAUCCUUGUGGUUAACACUUGACAGGUCCUGAGAAGUAGUCAGUAGUAUAUACUUUAAUUUGAGAGCAUGGGUAAUGGUGUACUUUUAUGCAUAUCCCUGUGCACUCAUCACACUGUUUCAUGACUGCCAAUAUGCCAUUAUGUGUUUCCUAUGUUCAUCGAUUUCUUCUACUCAUGACUGCCAAUAGUAUGUUAAUAGGAAUAAAUAGGUAAUUUUAGCAGAUUGUAUGUCUAUCGUACCUCUGUAGAUUAUUAUGAAGAGAUAGGUGUAGAGCACUUUCAAGUUUCACCUUUACCCCCAAAGAAGUGAAGGCAUUUGAGAUUAUUAGAAAAACAAUGCUCAUUUCAGUAGGCAAUACCAUAACUGACCCUUCUAAUUUUGAUUGCAGAGUCUGCAAAAUGCUAAGUGGCCCUUUUUUGUGUAACUUGAAUAGUUAUGUUAUCUUUUUAAUUAAUCAUCACUCCCUUUUCUCUUGUAAAUUCAUCCACUAUUAUUGGGACGGGAACAUUUGGAUGUGGAGCAAUUAUUUUCACUGCAGAGAUUGUCAUGUUUGACAACUCAGCUCCUAAGUUGUGGUGCAGGGGUAUGGGCAAAUAUAUGUAGUAACAACAUAUAGAUGUGCCUUAUUGCAGGUUCCUUCAUUGGCAGGUAUGCUCACUUAUCCAACUCUUGUUUAAAUCACUUAAUUAGUUAAGAUGAUACACCAGCAUUACUUUUGUUAUUUUAUAAGAUUUUUACUUUUAUCCAAUAAAGAAUUCAGGCCACACUAUUUGCACUACAGAAAACAAUAAAUUUGAUCAUUUUUAACAUGCCUAUUUUUCUCCUGCUUGAUGUUAUAUUUGGAUGGAUGAACACAUUCAUGCGUAUUUUAUGUUCAUGGGUCAUUGAUGUGAACCAUUUGGGAGGGUUGCCUUUGCACAUAUUUUUGUGGAUAGCUACACUAAGACUGCUGGGUGGCAUAAUUGGGAUUAAUCUGAGAAUGAACUAACUACUUGCUUCUUUGAGUACAGGUAUUGGGCGAAUUUGCAGCUUUAAUUUGCUUCUAUAUAAAGGUUAUGUUUUAUAAAGCAGUGGAAAUGGUUUUGAUGUUUCGGUUCGGUCUACAAUUGGCCGUCGUAAACUGAUUGUUUUUUUUCUAAUGUUAAUGAGAUCAAUUUGCAUAAAUUUAAUUAUAGCCAGUUAUGUGUAGCACGCUUUGGUCUGAACUUAUGCAUUAACUCUGAAGUUCACUUACAAUUGUUGGCAAAUUUGCUUUUACUAACAUGUAUGUACAGGAUGAAAUAUAAAUGUGGAUGGAUUACGAAGUUGCACGGAUUCCAGUUUGCUUCAUUCAGAGAGACCACUUAAAAUGUGGAUAUGGAUAUGGGGAUGGUUAAUGAAUACCCAGUGACAACCCUAGGUAGGAUGAAGGAGAGCGGAUUAGUGUUGGUGAGAGGAGGAUGACACGGUGGUGUUGGACAUAUUUAUAAACAAUUAAUAUGUAACCAAUGUAAGUUGGUUUUCUUAUGUAUUAUGAUGGUAGCAGAUGCUUGACGAGAGAACUAGGAGAACAUGAUGGUGGCAUAUUCAAGAAGAUGCUUGACGAGAGAACUGGGAGAACCCAAAGGAUCUGGAUGAAGUACGUGGCAUAUUACAAAGAAGAUUCAUCAGAGUUUUUUUUUUUUUUUUUUUUUUUUUUUUUUUUUUUUGGAAAGAAGACAUCAUUACGAUGGAUAAGUUGGCUUGUUUUUUCUAUUUAUUAAGAUAGAUAGUGGUUGCUUUGGUAGUGAUGAUGGUUUUGAUGGUGUAGGUUUUCAUAAGAUGGAAGAUAUUCAUGCUCCAUCAGCGUGAUGCAAUAGUAUCGUAGCUAAUUUUGUUCUUAACAACGAUGUCGAUGCCAAGGCUCCAAAACAUAAUUUAUUUAGAUUUUUUUUCUUUCUUUUAUGGUUUUUGGGAUUAAUACUUGUGAUCUUGUUUGAACAUAGAAUCAGAAACUUUUUGAAA